Molecule: ribosomal RNA, 442 nt
Filed under: uncultured bacterium
Lineage: Bacteria
Description: partial 16S ribosomal RNA
Rfam family: Bacterial small subunit ribosomal RNA
Source: RNAcentral
GAUGAACGCUGGCGGCGUGCCUUAUACAUGCAAGUCGAGUGGGUUUAGACCCACGGCAAACGGGUGAGUAACACGUAGGUACUUUCCUUGUCACAGGAAUAACCCUCCGAAAGGAGGGCUAAUACCUGAUGUGAUCGCAAGAUUAAAGGGUAUCCGCAAGGAUUACCGGACAAGAAGAGGCCUGCGGCCUAUCAGCUAGUUGGCGGGGUAAAUGCCCACCAAGGCUAUGACGGGUAGCUGGUCUUAUGAGGAUGAUCAGUCACAUGGGCACUGAGACACGGGCCCAACUCCUUCGGGAGGCAGCAGUAGGGAAUUUUGCGCAAUGGGCGGAAGCCUGACGCAGCGACGCCGCGUGCGGGAUGAAGGCCUUCGGGUCGUAAAACGCUUUUAUAAGGGACGAACUUUGACGGUACCUUAUGAAUAAGAGGUUGCUAACUCUGUG